This 253-nucleotide ribosomal RNA is filed under the name uncultured bacterium. RNAcentral describes it as "partial 16S ribosomal RNA". It matches the Rfam family "Bacterial small subunit ribosomal RNA", at positions 524 to 776 of the family's 1533-position model. The record is from RNAcentral.
UACGUAGGUGGCAAGCGUUGUCCGGAUUUGCCGGGCGUAAAGAGCGCGCAGGCGGUCGUCCAAGUCGCGUGUGAAAGCCCCCGGCUCAACUGGGGAGGGUCACGCGAUACUGGUCGACUCGAAGGCAGGAGAGGGUAGUGGAAUUCCCGGUGUAGUGGUGAAAUGCGUAGAUAUCGGGAGGAACACCAGUGGCGAAGGCGACUACCUGGCCUGUUCUUGACGCUGAGGCGCGAAAGCUAGGGGAGCAAACGGG